UGUUUUAUAAGCAAACCAAAGGCAUGCCCAUCGGCAGCCCUAUGGCUGGGCUUCUUGCUGAAAUUGUACUUAGAAAAGUAGAGAAACCAUCAUCCAUGCACUCCAGCCAAGGUUAAAGUUAUAUAUCAGAUAUGUGGAUAACAUCCUGGACGUUUGGAAAGAUGAGCAGGACAUAGUUGAAUUUAUGAAUGCCUUGACCCUUCUGUCUUACGGCUUAAGAUUAAAAAUGGACCAAAAGAGCAAUCAUGAAGUACACUAUCUUGACAUUUGCAUAAAAUCGGAAGAAGGAAGAGUGGUAACCAUGGUAUAUAGAAACCGUUUUACAUUCCUGUUAUCAUACCGAGAUGGUCUGAUGACCCUACAUCCUUUAAGAAGGCCGCAUUCCUAUCGUCUUUUAAGAGGGCAGAACUAUAUUCAACCAAUAUCCUUGACCUAGAUCGAGAGAUCGGCUAUAUCUGU
Molecule: long non-coding RNA, 459 nt
Filed under: Androctonus crassicauda
Lineage: Eukaryota; Metazoa; Arthropoda; Arachnida; Scorpiones; Buthidae
Source: RNAcentral